Molecule: ribosomal RNA, 264 nt
Filed under: uncultured archaeon
Lineage: Archaea
Description: partial 16S ribosomal RNA
Rfam family: Archaeal small subunit ribosomal RNA
Source: RNAcentral
AGACGUCUACAUUAGAUACCCGUGUAGUCCCAGCCGUAAACUAUGCGCGUUAGGUGUAUCGGUGACCACGAGUCACCGAGGUGCCGAAGGGAAACCGUGAAACGUGCCGCCUGGGAAGUACGGCCGCAAGGCUGAAACUUAAAGGAAUUGGCGGGGAGCACCACAACGGGUGGAGCCUGCGGUUUAAUUGGACUCAACGCCGGGAAGCUCACCGGAUAAGACAGCGGAAUGAUUGCCGGGCUGAAGACUCUGCAUGACUAGCUG